This 22-nucleotide microRNA is filed under the name Patiria miniata (bat star). RNAcentral describes it as "Pmi-Mir-92-o22_5p* (star (passenger))". The record is from RNAcentral. Lineage: Eukaryota; Metazoa; Echinodermata; Asteroidea; Valvatida; Asterinidae.
AGGUCUUGACGAGCGCCAUGUU